Oreochromis niloticus (Nile tilapia) is the source of this 1573-nucleotide long non-coding RNA. RefSeq lists it as uncharacterized. Lineage: Eukaryota; Metazoa; Chordata; Actinopteri; Cichliformes; Cichlidae. The record is from RefSeq and is a predicted model, not a curated record. The transcript has 3 exons.
AAGGUAAAUUGCCUCAAAAAUUCUAAAACACAUAUUUACGUCACAUUCCAUUACAUAGUUUGUAAUUGUUAAACAUAUCACUUGAGAAAUAAUCAUUUACAAAUUUGUCUUAAAACAGGUUGCUUUGUGAUAGUGCUGGCAGGUACACUUUACAAUAUGGUUUCUUGGUCAGUUUGAAAAACCAUGUCAGCUCUCUAUUUAGGAGGAUAAGCUCAUGCAGACAUUUGAAAGGCACUACCCUGAUUUUGUUGGGCAGAGGUGGCAAAAGUCCAAACUUUAUUUACUUAAGUAGAAGAAAUGAAACAACUUCUUUACUCAAGUAAAAGUGGAAAUGUACAGGAUGUUAACGCUAGCCCUUUAUAUUAUAACAUAUGAUAACCUUGCCUUGGGGCCUCUGAAAUACACCCAGAGACUACAAGUGGCACAAUCAAUAGGGGACCUACCAUUAAUAGGUGGGACUGAUAUGAUUUAACCUCCAAAGCUAUUCAGGUUUGGUUUAUCUUAUCAGGGUUACGAGGAAAGACACCUGGACAAUUUCUAGGUAGUUAGUACUCCAGCUGGUGCAGGGGUGCAGCUGGGUAAGACCCAUAGGACCAGAGAUUAGGACCUUUUUAUCAGAGAACCCCCCCCAAAAAAGGUUCCUCUCCAAGGGUUGUUGGCCCCGCAGAUUGGCACCGGACUGUCCUUUGUCACUGAUUCUGUUUAUAAUCUUUUGGACAGAAUAUCUAGGUGCAUUCAAGGGCUACACACUUACUAGGUGCUGGGAUCAGUGGUCUCAGGGUAUAAUCUCUGAUUUUACCUCUGAUCUUACCGAAUUUCCCAAAGGAACCCACCCGAGGGAUUAAUAAAGUUUUAUCUUAUCUUAUCUGAUUUAUGAUUUUGUUGAUUUUGCAAGGCACUGACUUCCAGUUUGCACUAGUGUGGUGUGACACAGUUAGGAUGAGAAUUAGCACUUCCAAGUCUGGAAUGUCAGGAAUGUCAUAAGACAUAAAGAUUGGCCGCUAACUUUCUGUCAUGGUCCGUGGGAGUGCCUGGAGGGGAUUUUCCUUCUGUGGCUGCUGAGCCAUCCCUUUGGGGCGGGGACUUCAGUGCUUCAACUGAGCCUCAGCUGCGAGCAAUCAGCGGGAGACCUACUUCAGCUGACUCAACCGGCCCCUCCUCGCCAGUUUGUUCUACUCUUCUCGGUGCAGAGUUUCAACCCUGGCUUCACCUUUCUGGGACAGUCCCUGUCUCCCAGCCGGCUCGACCGCCUGCCCUCUAACCUCCACGCUUCAGCUUGAGACCCUCCAGACGCUUCCCACGGACCUCUCUCCCCUCCCCUCAGUGAUCCUAACCCGGACUGGCACAAAUAUCCUCUCGUCUCUCUGACCUCUUCUGCGUUCCUGCCACUAGCCUUUUGGGCCCCCCUUGUCAUUUUUGGCCACCUUUUCAAAUAAAUGUCACUGUAAGUAUUCCGCGCCCGUGUUUGUCUGCGUUUUUGGGUCCACUUUCCUGGGCAAACCUGUUGGUUCAUGACACUUUCUGCUUCUUAAUUCAGAUCAAACUGAGGUUAUUGUACUCGGCCCUGAAAGUC